UAAAUGUUAACAGGCCGCCUGCGGGAAGCUAGGGGUUCACAUGUCUGCUGCAACCUGUCCAAAGAAAGCAGGACGCUGCCAUUCUGACUCCCAGCAGCUGCUCAGGGAGACCAGGGGCCCUGAGGGGGGGUCUGCUGUAGCUGCUAACGGAAAGUCUGCACUGAGAGGAAACCGCAGGAACAUGCAUGUGGCCAAUCAGAUAAUCUGUGCAACGAUCGUCUGCCAUGUAACUACGAACACGUGUGAUCACUACUGUGUCUCCAGGCUACCAGCUGACAACUUUUCAUCAAACCUUGGAGUGAGAUUUUGCAAUAAUUUGAACAGGCAACCCAGUCAGGGUUCGAUUGAAAGGCUCUGCGCUGCAGCUAAAGGUUGGAGGCUUUCAGACCAUUUAAAUGAAACUGGCAAAAUGUGGAAUUUUUCAAAGCGCAGUAAAUGUUUCUGAAUAAAAAUAAGUGAUCUGUAGUUAUGUGGAACAUUUUCACACAAAAUACAUUAUUUUCUAGAUUCUGGUGAUUUUCAGAGAGUUGAACUAAAAGUAUGGGCCCCACUAAAUACUAGCAUCUACUGUGAAUAAGAACUUCACAACUGUGUUUGUGUCUUCACCCUUAGUCCUCUGGAAACGGAUCACUGAGUCCUCCUGGAAACGGAUCUCUGAGUCCUCCUGGAAACGGAUCACUGAGUCCUCCUGGAAACGGAUCACUGAGUCCCCUGGAAACGGAUCACUGAGUCCUCUGGAAACGGAUCACUGAGUCCUCCGGGAAACGGAUCACUGAGUCCUCCGGGAAACGGAUCACUGAGUCCUCUGGAAACGGAUCACUGAGUCCUCUGGAAACGGAUCACUGAGUCCUCUGGAAACGGAUCACUGAGUCCCCUGGAAACGGAUCACUGAGUCCUCUGGAAACGGAUCACUGAGUCCUCUGGAAACGGAUCACUGAGUCCUCUGGAAACGGAUCACUGAGUCCUCUGGAAACGGAUCACUGAGUCCCCUGGAAACGGAUCACUGAGUCCUCUGGAAACGGAUCACUGAGUCUUCCGGGAAACGGAUCACUAAGUCCUCUGGAAACGGAUCUCUGAGUCCUCCUGGAAACGGAUCACUGAGUCCUCUGGAAACGGAUCACUGAGUCCUCUGGAAACGGAUCACUGAGUCCUCUGGAAACGGAUCACUGAGUCCUCUGGAAACGGAUCACUGAGUCCUCUGGAAACG
This is a long non-coding RNA of Cyprinodon tularosa, 1207 nucleotides long. RefSeq lists it as uncharacterized. The record is from RefSeq and is a predicted model, not a curated record. Lineage: Eukaryota; Metazoa; Chordata; Actinopteri; Cyprinodontiformes; Cyprinodontidae. The transcript is spliced from 2 exons.